RNAcentral lists this long non-coding RNA (419 nucleotides) under Nicotiana tabacum (common tobacco). RNAcentral describes it as "long non-coding RNA (NTAB_LNC018985)". Lineage: Eukaryota; Viridiplantae; Streptophyta; Magnoliopsida; Solanales; Solanaceae. The record is from RNAcentral.
GCAUAAACCGAUGAAUCUCCCCGGCAUAACCCGAUGAAUCUUCCCGGCAUAACCCAUGGACCUUUUCCGGCAUAACCCGUGAAUUGUCCUCAGCUAGUCAGCAUCAGGGUUUCAACCCUGAACUGAACUCUUUCCAUUCAGUCGGCAUUAGGGUUUUAAACCCUAAACUGAACUUUUUCCCUUUAGUUAGCAUUAGGGUUUUAAACCCUAAACUGAACUAUUUCCAUUCAGUCAGCAUUAGGGUUUUAAACCCUAAACUGAACUUUUUCCCUUUAGUCAGCAUUAGGGUUUUAAACCCUAAACUGAACUUUUUUCCCUUUAGUCAGCAUUAGGGUUUUAAACCCUAAACUGAACUUUUUGCAUUUAAUCAGCAUUAGGGUUUUAAACCCUAAACUGAACUUACUCCUUUAGUCAGCAUU